RNAcentral lists this unclassified non-coding RNA (345 nucleotides) under soil metagenome. RNAcentral describes it as "partial contains 5.8S ribosomal RNA, internal transcribed spacer 2, and large subunit ribosomal RNA". The stretch from base 1 to 120 matches the Rfam family "5.8S ribosomal RNA", at positions 35 to 154 of the family's 154-position model. The record is from RNAcentral.
GAUGAAGAACGCAGCGAAAUGCGAUACGUAAUGUGAAUUGCAGAAUUCAGUGAAUCAUCGAGUCUUUGAACGCACAUUGCGCCCCCUGGUAUUCCGGGGGGCAUGCCUGUCCGAGCGUCAUUGCUGCCCUCAAGCACGGCUUGUGUGUUGGGCCUCCGUCCUCCUCCCGGGGGACGGGCCCGAAAGGCAGCGGCGGCACCGCGUCCGGUCCUCGAGCGUAUGGGGCUUCGUCACCCGCUCUUGUAGGGCCGGUCGGCGCUUGCCGACACAUCAAUCUUUUUUCCAGGUUGACCUCGGAUCAGGUAGGGAUACCCGCUGAACUUAAGCAUAUCAAUAAGCGGAGGA